Molecule: ribosomal RNA, 612 nt
Filed under: Rhizobium sp. E3
Lineage: Bacteria; Pseudomonadati; Pseudomonadota; Alphaproteobacteria; Hyphomicrobiales; Rhizobiaceae
Description: bacterial SSU rRNA
Rfam family: Bacterial small subunit ribosomal RNA
Source: RNAcentral
UGAGAGUUUGAUCCUGGCUCAGAACGNACGUUGGCGGCAGGCUUAACACAUGCAAGUCGAGCGCCCCGCAAGGGGAGCGGCAGACGGGUGAGUAACGCGUGGGAAUCUACCUUUUGCUACGGAAUAACGCAGGGAAACUUGUGCUAAUACCGUAUGUGUCCUUCGGGAGAAAGAUUUAUCGGCAAGAGAUGAGCCCGCGUUGGAUUAGCUAGUUGGUGGGGUAAAGGCCUACCAAGGCGACGAUCCAUAGCUGGUCUGAGAGGAUGAUCAGCCACAUUGGGACUGAGACACGGCCCAAACUCCUACGGGAGGCAGCAGUGGGGAAUAUUGGACAAUGGGCGCAAGCCUGAUCCAGCCAUGCCGCGUGAGUGAUGAAGGCCCUAGGGUUGUAAAGCUCUUUCACCGGAGAAGAUAAUGACGGUAUCCGGAGAAGAAGCCCCGGCUAACUUCGUGCCAGCAGCCGCGGUAAUACGAAGGGGGCUAGCGUUGUUCGGAAUUACUGGGCGUAAAGCGCACGUAGGCGGAUCGAUCAGUCAGGGGUGAAAUCCCAGGGCUCAACCCUGGAACUGCCUUUGAUACUGUCGAUCUGGAGUAUGGAAGAGGUGAGUGAUU